AGAGUUUGAUCAUGGCUCAGGAUGAACGCUAGCUACAGGCUUAACACAUGCAAGUCGAGGGGAAACGACAUCGAAAGCUUGCUUUUGAUGGGCGUCGACCGGCGCACGGGUGAGUAACGCGUAUCCAACCUGCCCAUCACUUGGGGAUAACCUUGCGAAAGUAAGACUAAUACCCAAUGAUAUCUCUAGAAGACAUCUGAAAGAGAUUAAAGAUUUAUCGGUGAUGGAUGGGGAUGCGUCUGAUUAGCUUGUUGGCGGGGUAACGGCCACCAAGGCUACGAUCAGUAGGGGUUCUGAGAGGAAGGUCCCCCCACAUUGGAACUGAGACACGGGUCCAAACUCCUACGGGAGGCA
This 354-nucleotide ribosomal RNA is filed under the name uncultured bacterium. RNAcentral describes it as "bacterial SSU rRNA". It matches the Rfam family "Bacterial small subunit ribosomal RNA", at positions 8 to 350 of the family's 1533-position model. The record is from RNAcentral.